RNAcentral lists this ribosomal RNA (301 nucleotides) under uncultured bacterium. RNAcentral describes it as "partial 16S ribosomal RNA". It matches the Rfam family "Bacterial small subunit ribosomal RNA", at positions 509 to 809 of the family's 1533-position model. The record is from RNAcentral.
CAGUAGCCGCGGUAAUACAGAGGGUGCGAGCGUUAAUCGGAUUUACUGGGCGUAAAGCGUGCGUAGGCGGCUUCUUAAGUCGGAUGUGAAAUCCCUGAGCUUAACUUAGGAAUUGCAUUCGAUACUGGGAAGCUAGAGUAUGGGAGAGGAUGGUAGAAUUCCAGGUGUAGCGGUGAAAUGCGUAGAGAUCUGGAGGAAUACCGAUGGCGAAGGCAGCCAUCUGGCCUAACACUGACGCUGAGGUACGAAAGCAUGGGGAGCAAACAGGAUUAGAUACCCCAGUAGUCCCUGUCUCUUAUAA